This 3582-nucleotide unclassified non-coding RNA is filed under the name Portunus trituberculatus (swimming crab). RNAcentral describes it as "divergent protein kinase domain 2B-like, transcript variant X1". The record is from RNAcentral. Lineage: Eukaryota; Metazoa; Arthropoda; Malacostraca; Decapoda; Portunidae.
GGGCGGUACUUGUUUUGGCGAAACUUCGCCGUUGAGCGUUGACAGCUGACGCCUGGCGCCUGGCAGCAGCAGCAGCAGCAGCAGCAGGGUCAAGGUGCUAGAUACCGUCUAGCGACCCGCACGGUCUGCGUUAACUGUCACGGUGAUGUUUUCUUGACAGCAAGGAAUGAAAAUCUUCAUGAAAGGAAAGGAACUGCAGUGUUCAGGUUUUUUUAGACAUUUUCUACCUUAAUGUGAAUGAUGAAAUGAUAUUAAUUCCAUUAUAGUUUAUGGACUUUUGAUGUUGGAAAAUUUAACUCAGUGAAAACAAGAUGCAGCUCUUAAGGAUUCAUUAUCAAAAAUUGUUUGUAUGUGUGUCAUUUGUGAUGUUAGUGUUGGUGUUUGUGAGGGUGUGGGAUGCCAGUGAUGGGUCUCGAGGGCCAAGGCAGACCUUGCCUGCCUCUCUAAAAAGCCCAGAAAAGAGUGCUGUCAGUGCAAGAGAAAACAGCAUCAACAUUGACUCCCCAGUGCUACCCCCCAUCAGGCAUAGAAGCCAUGACAGUAUUAAAACAAAUGUUUUUGCUGACUUAUUCCAAGAUAUAACUAAGGAAGAGACAUGUCCAUUAUGUUUUGGACAUGACCUGUGUGAAGACGUGUCUGCUGGUUUCCUGUCAUUGGCCACAGACACCCCUCAGACAUUGCACGGAGCAGCCAUAUAUAACGCCCAUUUAGGGGACAUGCAGAAACUCUCUGUGAAGAUUCCUACAGGCAAUGGAUUCUCUCUCCUUGAUGAUUCUGUGUGUGUCAAUGCCAGCUUAGGUACAGGCUGUAGCGUUGGCUCUGCUGCCCUUAAGUCCUUUUUAGCAAGAUCUCAGUCUUUGUCACCUCAACUUCUGCAUCAUCUGUUGCGCAUUGUUGGCACUCCACGCAAUCAAUAUCCGUUAUUAAUGUGUCCAAGCAAAAAAUUGUUGAGCAUCAUAGAGCAAUCAUUUGAUGAAAAUGAUGAUCGUAGCUUCAAUCAAGAUGAAAGAAUAAUGCUGUACACAACACUGGCCAUUGCUCCAGAAAUUGCAAUUUACAAGAUACUUACCAAAGCAAACCUUAAUGUGGGAUUCCCUCGGCUGGUGGGCGUGUGUGGACGAGCCCAGGUGCUGGAGGGUGAAUUAACACCAAUGGCUGCAAUGUUAGAUGAAUCCUUCAAUGUUCGAGCUUCACUUGCAGCCCAAAUUCUCACCAUGGUGGAUGACUUCAUGGAAGAUGAUCCAGAAUGGUAUUUGUUCUAUGGUUCGUGGUCUCUGGAUAAGAUGGCCAUCAACAAGGAGGGAGAAGUGGUGCUGACUGAUCUUAGUGACAUGGCUGUGGUUGACAAGAAUCUUUUUCGAGAUGAAUAUGAGGAUGGAACAGAGAGUCGCACACAAGAAGUCUGCAACAAAGAUUGUUUCCAGAAGUUCACUGGAGAGGUAUACAGGGAAGGUCAUGAUACAGAUGAGAUAUGUUCCCGUGUAGAAGAUGUAGGUCACUUGAUGUAUGCUGCUGUGUGUGCUAUGAUCCUUAGUGAUAUGAAACAACACAAAUAUGUGGAUUACUUCACUAGCACCUCCAGCCUCCAGCAGCAACCUCGUACCACCAAAGGAUUGCUCCACAACAUCCCAGCAUCUGAUAGAGCCACUGUGGAGGAACUAGUGGCUGAAUGUGUGGAUGAGACAGCACCAGGAGGGAGGCUACAGGCUGCCCAGGAACUUCGAGACUUCCUAUCAGACUUCUUGUUGGAUGAAGAAGAUGAUGACAAGGAUGAAGAAGGAGAGGAAGAGUUGGAUGGCAAGAAUGAGGAUGGAGAUGAUUAUGAUGAUGACUAUGACUAUGGAGAGGAAGAAGGCUAAGAGGCAAAAUGUGCAUGCAGCCUCUGAAGUAUGGAUGAGUACAAGAUGUUGCUUUUUCUAUAAUGUACUUCUUUAUAGCUCCAUAUGAUGUUAUAGUAAUAUGAUCUGCUAAUUUGAAAAGUAUAAGCAAGAAGGAAUCUCACUGUUGCGCUGGUAGCCAGGCUAUCGCACAUAAUCUGUGAUAAGGUAGUAGAAGCAAUGCUUAAGUCUACUUCAGUUGAUUUGCUCUCCAAUUAGGAAUUUUAUUCAUUAUCUUCCUUAUUGGAGAUCAUUUUAUUGUACUGUUUUAGCUCUUCAGGAAGUUUACUUUACAUGUGUUAUUUUUUCACUUUUUAUAAUGCAAACUUUUCUUUUCAAAUAUAAGGUUUAUCCAAGGAAGAAGCAGAAAAUCAAAUGAAGUCAUAUAAGAAAUGCAUUUAAAAAAUCUAAUAUUGCUUCUUUCAUAUUUCUGAAAUAAAAAGUUCAUAAAAGAGCAGUUCCAAACACAUCUUUUGACAUUCAAAAGUUGCUUUUAUUUGAUGAUUGGACCAAAACCUUCACCAGAAUAAGUAAACCACUUCUUUAUUGAUAUCAGUGACUCAAUCUGCCUUAAAUAAUGUAUACACUGUCAGUGCAGUGCAGCAGUUUACAUUGUGUGAUGCAGCACUCAAGCAAGUGAUCUUGUUGAAUUUUUUUAUUUAUUUGGUACAUCAAGUAAUUGUUUUAAUAUUAGAGACAGCUGAAUGUACACCAUAUAGAAAACUAUUUUUAUGAUUCAGCUAAUUUGGUACAACUGACAAUGAUAUCUAAAAUGUAGUGUGGAGCCUUUAAAAAUUUGGGUAGGACAAUUAAUCUAGUAAUGAUGUGUCAAACAGUUUUAUGUAAGAUGAUCACAUUUUUUCAUGCAGGUAUAGCAUUUAAUUCAUAGAUGUGAUUAAAUCAACAAAGCUAAAAAGCUAACACAGGAAAGGCUAAAGGAAAGCUAUCUUCUUCAUUAACUGAUACAUCUCAUACAUGAGUAGUAGCAAUCUCUCCAAGAUGCCCUGUAACUUUACUUUUUGCAACCACCAUCUAAAUGAAGUUAGUCUUCUGAAUGAGUGUACAGUUAUAUAUUGACUAUAUUGACACCUCUCUAAUCUUAUAAGAAAUGUAUUUUUAUCAUCAUGAGAUUUGAAAUUUGUGAUAGUAAACAAGCAUAUGCAUUGUCUGCUGGGAUGACAAUCAUGGCAUAAUGAAAUAGGAUUUUAUAUAAUGAAGCUAGAAACAAGAAAAAGAAAAGUCUGUAGCACAUUUUUUUGAGUUUUGCAACAGUAAUGCUUAAAAACAGUGAGAGAUUUUAUAAUAGAAGUAUGUACCUUCACAAAAUGACUAGAGGUAAUGAAUUUAUAGGAUGUUGAUAUUUUUAGAGAGAAAUGUGUAUUUAUAGUUUAUAUUGUAUAGAUGUAUACAUACUAUAUUUUUGCUUAUUAUUUAUAUUGAUGAGAAUUGGUGAAAUAAUGCAAAGAAUACCAUGACAUCAGCUUGUUUUUUUCUUGGUGGGGAAAGGGAAUGAAUUGUCCUUUCAAGAAAGACUGCAACACCAAUAUUAAAUUUGUCAGUCUUCAAACUGUGGCAUAGUGUAAUUGCUGCACCCAAGGAUGAACUCCAUCCCCUGUCUUGUAACAUAUUGAAAUGUCUUCAAAUGUGAGAUUAAAACUUUAUGAUCUUAUUUCAUUGAAAAGGUAUGAUUAAAAGUAACAAUUUA